Molecule: ribosomal RNA, 278 nt
Filed under: uncultured Oscillospiraceae bacterium
Lineage: Bacteria; Bacillati; Bacillota; Clostridia; Eubacteriales; Oscillospiraceae
Description: partial 16S ribosomal RNA
Rfam family: Bacterial small subunit ribosomal RNA
Source: RNAcentral
GCAGCCGCGGUAAUACGUAGGUUGCAAGCGUUGUCCGGAUUUACUGGGUGUAAAGGGCGUGUAGGCGGAGAUGCAAGUUGGGAGUGAAAUCCCGGGGCUCAACCCCGGAACUGCUUUCAAAACUGCAUCCCUUGAGUAUCGGAGAGGCAAGCGGAAUUCCUAGUGUAGCGGUGAAAUGCGUAGAUAUUAGGAGGAACACCAGUGGCGAAGGCGGCUUGCUGGACGACAACUGACGCUGAGGCGCGAAAGCGUGGGGAGCAAACAGGAUUAGAAACCCC